This 253-nucleotide ribosomal RNA is filed under the name uncultured bacterium. RNAcentral describes it as "partial 16S ribosomal RNA". It matches the Rfam family "Bacterial small subunit ribosomal RNA", at positions 524 to 776 of the family's 1533-position model. The record is from RNAcentral.
UACGUAGGUGGCAAGCGUUGUCCGGAAUUACUGGGUGUAAAGGGAGCGCAGGCGGGAAGCCAAGUCAGCUGUGAAAACUACGGGCUUAACUUGUAGACUGCAGUUGAAACUGGUUUUCUUGAGUGAAGUAGAGGUUGGCGGUAUUCCGAGUGUAGCGGUGAAAUGCGUAGAUAUUCGGAGGAACACCGGUGGCGAAGGCGGCCAACUGGGCUUUAACUGACGCUGAGGCUCGAAAGUGUGGGGAGCAAACAGG